RNAcentral lists this long non-coding RNA (1350 nucleotides) under Hordeum vulgare. Its description in RNAcentral is "long non-coding RNA (HVUL_LNC002556)". Lineage: Eukaryota; Viridiplantae; Streptophyta; Magnoliopsida; Poales; Poaceae. The record is from RNAcentral.
CACGAGGGAGCUCAUUCGCCUUGGUAGAUGCAUUGGAGUCUUGUAUCCCAUAACGUUCGGAGCAUUUAGUCGAAAGCAUCGUUGUUUAUGGUGUUUACUGAGUUUUGAACCCUGAACCUCUUGGUUGCAAGUUUAUGCACCUAACGAGUUCACCCAUCAUUCCGAUCUGAUGGAGGGCGGCGGGCAAUAUAUUUCGACACUCUCCCUCACGUCUAGCCUUAUUUAGUCCUUAGACGUGGGAUCGAUGUAGGCCGUAGAAUUGAUUAUUUUUAAUACUGCGUUGGCAGGGUCAGCUCGGAUACCAUAUUGAAUUCAUGCACCAGCAAAUUAAUCCAAAAGUCCAAACUAUGCAAGGGGACUGGACAUUACUCCAAGAGUUACUCAUAUGGUGACUAAUAUAUUAUGUUAUACAUGCACCUCUUUCUUUAUUAGUUACUUGACACAUCAUAUAUUUUGGCUAGAUACUUGUGAUGUUACCAUCUAUGUUACUCUCACUAUGAGUAGUCUAAGAAGUCGAUCUCCAUUAUCCUAUUAAUCCCAAUCAUAUGCCACAUCAUCACACAUGUCAUCUUAUCAAUUAUUAUUUCUUUCUUUCCUAAUUGCAUGCUCCACCCAACUAACAUACUUAAUGCGCAAGCAACCAUGCAUGCGUGGAAAAGUAGUAUCUACUUCAAUACACAAAUGCAUGAGAAAUUGUUUACAUUGUACAAUAAUGAUGUGACAUAUUUAUGCUUCAUAUAUACAACCAAUCUCACUGAAAUAUAUUCCAAUCAGUUCCCGUCCCAACACUCGGCGUAUCAUCAGUUCAUAUAUAUAGUGAUAAUGUUGAUGUUUUUUCUUAGAGACACUGGUGCAUUAUUUUCGAAAUGUGAACAUUCAAUUGCAAACAAAUUGAGAUGUAGAGUAUGUAACUAGAGCACUCCAAAAAGUGAGCGGAAAGAACACUAACAAAAACUAGGUAUCAUAUACUAGCAUAUCUGAUGAUACACUAAAAAGAUGUGUUCGGUGGGAGUGGCCAUGCCAGUGUUAUAUCACACUCACACCUAGUCAUAUUGCACGAUCUCUCUCUCUCACUCCAUGUAUAAAUGUCCAGAGUCCCGAACACACGAUCAUUCACAGACAGCAGCUCCAACAGAACAAUGGAUCAGCUCCUCGUGCUCCUCGCGCUUCUCUUGUGCGGCCUCCUCGCCGUCCUCCGGCGCGGCCGCGGCCGUGCUCCUCCUCCUCCACCCUCACUCGCCAUGCACAAGAUCACCGACCCUGCCGUCGCACACCGCGCGCUCGUCGAGAACGCCGACGCCUUCUCGAACCGCCCGCCCGCGCGCCUGCACGUGGCCCUGGCCNNNNNNN